UCUGGGACAUAGCAGAUUAGUCUGGGGAAUAAUUGAAAAGGAAAUGGUUUCCUUCCUUUGCAGUUCAGUGCCAUAUAAGCAUGUUUUCCUCCAGCUUUUUAACAGUAAUAGCAUUAACGAUCGUGUGCUUAGAUUUCGGGUUUCUAGGCUCUGCUACCCUUUUAGUCUGUAUCAUGGCUGAAGCCUUUGCUAUAUUUUCUCCAUCACCAAGAAGAGUUGAUUCUCCACCUUUUUAGGCCACACACUCCUUGGGCAAUCUGAUGAAACCUAUGGAUAUCUGCAGAGUUCGAUUUUUAAAAGACAUAGGAUACCACUGUAAAGUAAAAGCACUGUGAAAAAUGCGGGAGUAUGGUAAUGUUUACACUCAUUAUGAAUGCAUCAAAUAAUCCAAUCUAAUAUUGCACUUUUGAAGUCGGAAUGAGCUAAACAUCAUCUUGGGGUCUCAGUCACACCUGCAAUGUGAUAAGAAAACACCUGUGAUUCUAUCGGUGACCAAGCCAUAGCCUCUGGGAAUCCUCCUGUGGGUUGUCACAUAUUUGUAAUGGAAGGAAAUACUAAUGUCACUGUGAGUUUAGAAAAAGUGCAACUGUGGUAUUUUUGUUUCCAUUCAGGUUCGCAGAUCCCUGAAUUCCAUCCAUGGAUUCCUGUGCUCCUGUAAAUGUCCACUGGAAGACACAAGGGUACCACUACCGUUCAUUCAUUCCUUCAUUAACUCAUUCAUUCAUUCAACAAACCUUUACCAAGUGCCUACUGUGUGUCUCAGACUAAGGACAUAGGAGGGAUCUAAAUGCAUGAAAAUGAUUAUCUCCAAGGAUCUUCCAGUGGGGGAGAAAAUGAUGAGGAACAAAACCAGCAGCCUGUCUCUGACAUGUUCCCAGGAAGACAGAAGAAAGGAAGAAAUGGGAAGGACAUGGUGGAAAUGAUUCAGCAUACUGUCUGAGACCCUGCAGUUUUAGAAGCACCCUGCUGUGGCCCAGGUUCCAUGCAAAGAAGCACCAAGUGGACUCCUGAUUGAUGGGAACACAUGAGAAGAACAGGUUCCAGCCUUCUGACAUUGCUGCCAAGCUCCAGAGGUAGAGGAAGAGGGAAGUUAGAGAUGGAAAGGGAAAGAGAAAUGAGAAGAACAAGAAUUUACAGAUCACCUGCUAUGGAGUUAGGUACUCUGUGAUUUGCUUUCCAUCUGCUACCCCAUCCACUCAACAAUCCUAUGAGGUGGGUGUUACUCCCAUUGCACAGAUGAGCAGCUCGAGGCUCAGGAAAGUUAAGUGGCUUAUGCAGUGCCUCAGAGGCAGGCCAUGACAGAGUCAGGACUUGAACCAAGGUCCGUCUGAAUACAAUGAACAGACUUGGCCCAUUCUUCACACUGGUCCGAGUCUGUGUGAAGAGAGAUGGAGGGAGGCAGUGUCUGAGGCCAUGCAAGAUCUUUUGACUUCUACUUUACUUUUGCCUGAAACUGGUUUUGGGGAGAUAAUAGAAACCAAGACUUUUUUUUUUCUAGUUCCACCUCAGGCAAGGUCCUAGCAGGGAACAGAUUUCACUCCAAACUAUUCAUCCAGGAAGAGUUUAAUGCAGGGCUGUUUACAGGGUGGGAGGCAGGAUUAAGAGGCUCAGUGGGACUGCUGAAGAUCGCAGGGACCAGCAUCAGUAACCAGCUGUUACUGCCCUUAGGGCUGCAGGGGUCGGGGUGGGCUGUAUGGAGCCAGUGAAGCUGGCACCGUGGACACAGAUGCCCAACAUGAGCUACUGUCAUGGAAGGUUGCUUUCAGGCAAGGGGAGGAGAUAGACACUGUGAGGUGAUCUCUUAUCCACCCUCCCUCCUAGCUGCCUCCCAGUGCCUUCCAUAAGCUGAGUCCAAUCAGAAGCCAGAGGGCAAGAGACUCCUGCUGUAUCUUGAGGGGCUGACUCCCUGGGUGCCUGGCAGAGCAUAGAGGGUGAAGCAAAGGUCUGUGUGUGUGCUGGGAGGGCUGAGGGGCUAGACAAUCAGCAGCACAGACUUGACCCUGUCCCCUGUCCUUGCUGAGCCUCUGACUGGGAACAUAACCAGUGACCUUGAGACUGUUUUCUGCAAAGAAAGGGGACUCUUGGGUACGCUUCAAUAGGUGCGCCGGGAAUUUCCUGGAACAGCGGUGUGCUUACCACAUCCUGAGCAAAACACUCUCUCCACCUGUCAGCACCCAGAUACGCUCAAGUGCGUGGCUGUCGCACUUGGAGAGGAAUUUGGAGCGUGUGUCUCCCGGCCACUCUCCAGCCCCUUUUUAUCAGGAGUCUUAUUUUAAAGGUAAUGUUUAUUCGCUUAAUUAGUUGAUUUUAUUAUUUACCAGCUGCUGGUCUGUCAUUUCUCUGGGUCUUGGUCUCCUCAUCUGUAAACUGGAGAAUUAUGAGAACCAAAAGAAUGUCCGUGAACAGCACUUGGAACAGCGCCAGAUGCCUAUUAAGCACGCUGUGAUUGGCAGCUCUUUUCCUCUCCAUC
Long non-coding RNA from Manis pentadactyla (Chinese pangolin), 2470 nucleotides. RefSeq lists it as uncharacterized. The transcript has 5 exons. Lineage: Eukaryota; Metazoa; Chordata; Mammalia; Pholidota; Manidae. The record is from RefSeq and is a predicted model, not a curated record.